AGGGCGAGGGAUACUAAGGAGUUAGCGCCGGGCGGCAACGCCUGCCGUUCAGUCUUCCUGCAGCUUCCCCGCGGCGCGUUAUUAGCAAAGAGACGCCCGUCCUCACGGGCUGCGGCGGGGCCUGGCUCUGAGGGCUGCGUUCCAGGGCUUCCUCCCCGCCGCGCCCGCGCCUGACAAACCACUCGGCGGCCGGCUGCACAGCUGCGAAAUGGGACAUCCCAGCUCUGUUGUCGUGAGAACUUGCAAGAUUUCCAUUUUUAAAGACACUGAUAAAAGAAUCGUCGCCUCUGCUGCAGACAGGUAAACUAAUCUGCUUUGUGCUGCAGUGAGGGACUUCAGUGACUGCCCACAUGCCACCUUUGGAUUUUCCAGAGAAGUAAUGCCUAACCAUGGCCUAAGAAUUUGCCUAGUCCCAUUCAAACUGCUCUGUGUAGACAAUCCUAUUUUCAGUUGUUGAGAACUUGGUUAAGAUCCCUGAAAAUACAGACAUGGCCAUAGACAUUCAAUAAAGGUAGUAGUGAUAUGAAGGGAAAGUCCCAUUACCAGAACUUGGGUGGGAAUGGGAAACAAUAACUCACUUCUUUUACAUGUCCCCUUCUUUGCGAUCCCAUCCUUUCAUUCUGUGAACAACCUUAGAUAAACUGUUUCUAGACUAGAAGAACUUGGUUUUUGUAGGGUAUACCCCAAGGACUCCAGCUGACACAUUAUUAUGCACCCCUUAGCAGUUUUGAUAACACAGUCACAUUUAUUUUCUUGUAUUUUCAACAAUACAAUGUUGUGAUGUCUGGCUAAGGCAUAUAUUUUAUUAUAUUAUACAGAUGGUAAAACUUAGGCAUGAUAAAUGUUUUAUUCAAGGUUGCAAAACUUAAAAAGGCAAACCCCUCAGUCCUAUUAUGGUUCUCACUUUAACCUUUCCCACUAUGCCACUUUCCAAUACUGUUUGGAAAGUGUGACAAAAACACCUCCAAUCUAAGCCUAAGACUAUGAAGAUGCUUAUAAGAACAUACCUAAACACAAACUGCCUGCACUCACUUUCGGUCCUUUCUACCACUCAUCUGAAAAGUUUUCCUCUGCAGCAAGACAUCAACACAGUACAUUUUCUGCCAGGAGUGAUGUGAUUUUGUGAACCACUUUUCUUUAUUUGGGGUACAUAUUCGUAAGCUGGAAGGUGAAUCAGUUGUCCAGCACUAAUUCUUAGUCCUUCUGGUAAGGUUUCAGCAUUGUUAUUGGCCACUGGACAUAUUAGUAUGGUAAUUUGUCUCACAAUUAAUGAACCAAUAUUGAUGAUAAAGGAUGAUGAUGAUGAACAUGAUGAUAAUUAUUAACCAGACUCCAUUUAUUGAGAGGGAGUGGUAAGGUUCUAGAAGAACAAGUGGGUUGAAAGAUCACUGCGACCAUCUUUGGAAAAUAACAGUGUGUCAGUGUGAGGUAUGAGCAGACACCAAUCUUAUGCUUUUCCCUAUUUCCCCUUUAAAACUGCUCUGUGAACUCAUUCUUCCCUGGGUCUUGAAUAAAAUUUCAUUCCAACCCCA
Molecule: non-coding RNA, 1532 nt
Organism: Miniopterus natalensis
Lineage: Eukaryota; Metazoa; Chordata; Mammalia; Chiroptera; Miniopteridae
Source: RefSeq, a predicted model, not a curated record